Molecule: ribosomal RNA, 468 nt
Filed under: uncultured bacterium
Lineage: Bacteria
Description: partial 16S ribosomal RNA
Rfam family: Bacterial small subunit ribosomal RNA
Source: RNAcentral
GACGAACGCUGGCGGCGUGCUUAACACAUGCAAGUCGAACGGAAAGGCCCUGCUUUUGUGGGGUGCUCGAGUGGCGAACGGGUGAGUAACACGUGAGUAACCUGCCCUUGACUUUGGGAUAACUUCAGGAAACUGGGGCUAAUACCGGAUAGGAGCUCCUGCUGCAUGGUGGGGGUUGGAAAGUUUCGGCGGUUGGGGAUGGACUCGCGGCUUAUCAGCUUGUUGGUGGGGUAGUGGCUUACCAAGGCUUUGACGGGUAGCCGGCCUGAGAGGGUGACCGGACACAUUGGGACUGAGAUACGGCACAGACUACUACGGGAGGCAGCAGUGGGGAAUAGUGCACAAUGGGCGGAAGCCUGAUGCAGCAACGCCGCGUGCGGGAUGACGGCCUUCGGGUUGUAAACCGCUUUCGCCUGUGACGAAGCGUGAGUGACGGUAAUGGGUAAAGAAGCACCGGCUAACUACGUG